Molecule: small RNA, 28 nt
Filed under: Bombyx mori (domestic silkworm)
Lineage: Eukaryota; Metazoa; Arthropoda; Insecta; Lepidoptera; Bombycidae
Description: ovarian small RNA-5802
Source: RNAcentral
UAAUAAGUGCGGUCGCGACUCCUGCGGC